Ochotona curzoniae (black-lipped pika) is the source of this 216-nucleotide long non-coding RNA. RefSeq lists it as uncharacterized. Lineage: Eukaryota; Metazoa; Chordata; Mammalia; Lagomorpha; Ochotonidae. The record is from RefSeq and is a predicted model, not a curated record. The transcript has 2 exons.
AAGACCCCAAGCUAUAAAGGCCCAGUCUGCUGAAGGACUGGGCUUCUGCCACGUGGUCAUUCCACCUGCGUGGUUGGUGCCCCAUCUCUGCACCUCUCUCCCAACACGGAGCACGUCGUGACACAAGCUCCCCUGGCCACACUGUGCGGCGUGUUCCCGGGCCUGCGGAUGCGCUCAGCGGACUCGGUCAACCGAUAAACCCGGGGAGGAUCUUCU